This is a long non-coding RNA of Phycodurus eques (leafy seadragon), 2185 nucleotides long. RefSeq lists it as uncharacterized. The transcript is spliced from 3 exons. NCBI's taxonomy places the organism in Eukaryota, Metazoa, Chordata, Actinopteri, Syngnathiformes, Syngnathidae. The record is from RefSeq and is a predicted model, not a curated record.
UCGAGACAAGUCAUUUGGACCACCUCCAGAAUGACAUCACUGCUCUACACUUGUUUCGUCUUGACUGGCUGCAUGAAUAAACUCCCCAAAAAGCGGACAGAAAGUUGUGUGAAGAAGUCGUUCACAGCCAGCCUCCCUGGUCCUGAGAGACUGUAAUUCACAGGAACUUGAAGGUCUCGACGGUUGACACAAGGCAGCCGGACAGCGUGAGUGGCAGCUGUAGAGAAGAAUGCUUCCUGAAGUCCACAAUCAUCUCUACAGUCUUGAGCGUGUUCAGCUCCAGGUUGUGUCGGCCGCACCACAGUUCCAAGCCGGUCCACUUCCUGUCGAUAUGCAGACUCGUCACCAUCUUUGAUGAGGCCGAUGACAGUGGUGUCAUCUGCAAACUUCAGGAGUUCUACAGCCGGGUGCAUUGAGGUGCAGUCGUUCGUGUAGAGAGAGAAUAGCAGCGGACUGACUGACCGUCAGGAAGCUGUAAAUCCACUGGCAGAUGGCAGGCGAGACACUAAGUUGGAGAAGCUUGGAGGAAAGGAGUUCAGGAAUGGUGGUGUUGAAUGCAGAGCUGAGGUCCAUGAACAGGAUCCUCGCGCAGGUCCCCACGCCGUCGACGUGUUCUAGGAUGAAGUGCAGUCCCAUUUUGAAUGCAUCAUCCGCAGACCUGUUUGCUCGGUAGACAAACUGCAGGGGGUCCAGGAAGGGACCUGUGACGCUCUUGAGGUGGUCAAGCACGAGGCGUUCGAAGGACUUCACGACCACAGAUGUCAGGGUGACAGGCCUGUAGUCAUUCAGACCAGAGAUUGCAGGUUUCUUGGGGACUGGGAUGAUGGUGGACCGUUUGAAACAUGAUGGUACUUCGCACAGUUCCAGAGAUCUAUUGAAGAUCUGUGUGAAGACUGGAGCGAGCUGGUCCACGCAGACUUUGAGGCAGGAUGCUAACCAAUUACGCUUGUUUUACGCUUAGAAUUGCUAACCAAUUAAGCUUGUAAUUGGUUAGCAAUUGGAAUGCAUGCCAAACUGAUUUAGAGUUGUCUUUCUAACUUUACUGCAUAGUUUCUCUUUGCAAUGUUAAUUUCUUUAGUCAGCUUGUUUGUAGCGCAAUUAUACAGGGCCCUAUCCGCACUUCGAUAUACGUCCUCUUUAGCCUGGCGAAGUUGCUCAAGUUUGGCAAUGAACCACGGCUUGUUGUUAUUGAACGUGUGAAAUGACUUUGUUGGUACACACACCUCUUCACAGAAACUAAUAUAGGAUGUGACAGUGUCUGUAUAUUCAUCCAGGCUGCCAGCUGAAAUUCAAAGACAAAAAAGAUCGUAAAAGCUUUUUUCUUAUUUGUAUUUGAAAUACACAAUCUGCUGGACUUGGAGAAGCAAUGCCUCACUUCUUGCUAUGAUUACAAAAUUGGACAAUGGAAUGGAUUGUCACCAAAGAGGUACAAGUAACUUAACUUCACUAUGACAAUCACAAGUAGUUGAACAGUACCACUAUUGGUUUUGUAGCCGUAUUUUUCAUGUCACCUUGUUGUCUAUCACUGGCCAAUUUAAACAUGGUGGUCACAAUGUUUGUGUAGCUCAUUAUACAGCCACCCUAAGCUUCUAAUAAAAUUUAUUCAGUCUGGCACGGUAGAAUAUUGGCACUUAAGCACCAGUUUUCCUACUUUCAAAUCAAUGUGUGGUUCAAAGAAGAAAACUGAAGUACUGGUGCUGAUGGGCUGUCGUACCGAUCUUGCAACUAUAUGAUGGGAAACGUUUUAAAAGUGUAGAAAUUUCUACGUCAAUCAGACAAGGACAAACAAGCAAUAUUUGUUUUAAUAUGUAAAAGAUAAUAGCCUUUAUUCAGCAUUUCUAGACUAGGAUUGUUUGAUGAUAUACAUUAUUCUUCUGAACCACAACUAUUACACCUUAUUGACAUUGUAAGAAGGCUAGCAAGUUUAUUCUGUUGUAUGCUGUAUUCUGUAGUCUUGGGCAUUUGUAGUCUGUAGUCCACAUACGGCAUGUUCGACCAAAUAUAGAUUUUUAAGAAAACUUAAACGAUCAGAGCUGAUGAUGAUGAUUGCACGUCUCAGUCUGAGGGUAAACUGUUUGCACACUGAGUCACCACUCAGCCGGUUGGUUCCUGUUAAAGUGCUCUUGACUGUGACAAGGAUGUCAGGCAGAUGAGGGGACUUCUUCACUGGUGACUCACCUCCGUC